This 1169-nucleotide long non-coding RNA is filed under the name Marmota monax (woodchuck). The record is from RNAcentral. Lineage: Eukaryota; Metazoa; Chordata; Mammalia; Rodentia; Sciuridae.
CAUUACCCAGUUUCAAAGCUGCUUCCACAUUGGAAUAGGAGGACUUCACUUCUGCUGCCAUUUUUUUUGACUUUGUCUGUAUUAUUACAGAAUAAACUGAAUGACUUAUACUAAGCAAAUGUAUUGGCUCACAAUUCUGGAAGUUGUGAUGUUUAAUAUCAAGUUGAUGGCUUUCUUACUGCAUCAUCAUAGCAGAACAUGGAGGAGAAAGAAAGAGAAAGGGGGUCCCCUCUCCCUUGUAUAAUGUUUUUAAUUGCACCAGUAAGAGUAGAGCCCUCAUGGCCUAAAACACAUCUUGAAGGUCUCACCUCUUAAUACUGUUAUGAAGGUAUUUAUAUUUCAACAUGGAUUUUGGAGGAGACACAUAUUCAAAUGGUUGAAGUGCCUGAGGAUGGUGCUGCCUGUGGCGGCAGCUUGCUGAAGCCAGCUGGAAGCAGGGAUAUUUAAAACUAGUGCCUGUAAGUGAUGGGUAACUAUGCCCAGGGAGAAGCAGUGGAAUAUAUAUGCACAGGCAAUAAUGCUCAAGGAAGAAAUGAAGAUCAGGAGGAAAAAUGUGACCCAAUACUAUUUAAAGUACUUGAACACAAAGGAAUGGUAGUUUUUUGAAAGUGUACACAGGAACUAAAAUACACUAUUUAGUUAUGUAAGUAGGGAAUGAGGAUAAGAUGGAGCCAGUAAUUACAUAAACAAGAGGCAGUGAUGAAAAGAGCACAGUGAUAACGUCCAGUGCACUGAUAUAUCCAAUUAAUUCAUCCCCUUCACCUAAGUUUUCUGCCCAAUGAUAGAUGUACAGUAGUGUCUUUAACUACUGAGGAUACACUGCAAGAACCUGCCCCUGCCUCCUGUAGAACCCUAAAGCUGUGGGUAGAUUCAAGCUCUAUAUGUAGUAUGUUUUUUUUUUCUAUCAUAUAUACCCAUGAUAAAGCUCAACUUACAAAGUAUACACUUUAAUAAUCAUAUCUAAUAAAAUAGAACAGUCACACUAAUAUACUAUAACAAAAGUUAUGUGAAUGUAGGUUCUCUCUCGUUCUCUCUCUCUCUCUCUCUCACACACACACACACACACACACACACAAUUUAUACUGUACUUACCUUCUUGUGAUGAUGUGAGAUGAUGCUUAAAGGAAGCAUUUUGAAGCUUCUCUUUGGACUACCUUAAUUACUACCAA